AAGCAUGUUUUCCAAGGGCUGUGGCUGCUGUAGCCAUUGGCUCUCCAACUGCAUGCCAGAGUAACGGAGAGACUUUGACAGCCCAGGCCAGCGGUGCCUGCAGCUGCCACUCAGCUUUCCUAUAUAU
Apodemus sylvaticus (European woodmouse) is the source of this 127-nucleotide small nucleolar RNA. RefSeq annotates it as small nucleolar RNA SNORA44. The transcript has a single exon. Lineage: Eukaryota; Metazoa; Chordata; Mammalia; Rodentia; Muridae. The record is from RefSeq and is a predicted model, not a curated record.